Molecule: ribosomal RNA, 250 nt
Filed under: uncultured prokaryote
Description: partial 16S ribosomal RNA
Rfam family: Bacterial small subunit ribosomal RNA
Source: RNAcentral
UACGUAGGGGGCAAGCGUUAUCCGGAUUUACUGGGUGUAAGGGGAGCGUAGACGGUUAUGCAAGUCUGAAGUGAAAGCCCGCGGCUCAACUGCGGAACUGCUUUGGAAACUGUGUAACUAGAGUGCAGGAGAGGUAAGUGGAAUUCCUAGUGUAGCGGUGAAAUGCGUAGAUAUUAGGAGGAACACCGGUGGCGAAGGCGGCUUACUGGACUGUAACUGACGUUGAGGCUCGAAGGCGUGGGGAGCAAAC